This is a non-coding RNA of Peromyscus maniculatus bairdii (prairie deer mouse), 506 nucleotides long. Lineage: Eukaryota; Metazoa; Chordata; Mammalia; Rodentia; Cricetidae. The record is from RefSeq and is a predicted model, not a curated record.
ACUAAAGCAGAUUACGCUCCACAGUGUGGGCAGGCCUCCUCAGCUGAUGACUAUUGAAGAGUAAAGCCUGCCCUCCCUUGAGUGAGAAGGAAUUCUCCCAGCAGCCUGCCUUUGGAUUAGAAUGUCAGUUUGUCUCCAACCUACUGGACUACCCCCAUAAAAGUGGGACUCACCAGGCCUUCACAGUCACUGCUAGAGAUGGAACCCGGGGCCUUUCCAAGGAGGCGGCCUAUGAGCUCUUGGUUACACCCCCAAUUCAUGGACUGGAAUGACCCUCAUUGAAGUGUUCCAGAGUCCACAGCACAGGUGGUCUGCAGACUCAUCCUCCUACCCACCUCUUCCCAAGAGAGAAAGGAAACCUCCUGAGCCUUCUUCCUAAGCAACGUGCUUUUAAAGUAAGAUUGAUUUUGAUUUUAUGUGUGCAUAUGCCUGCUUGUCUGUAUUGUAUGUGCAGCAUGUGUGUGCAGGUGCCCAGUCGUCAGUAGAGUUCCAGGUGGUUCUGAGCU